RNAcentral lists this ribosomal RNA (425 nucleotides) under uncultured bacterium. RNAcentral describes it as "partial 16S ribosomal RNA". It matches the Rfam family "Bacterial small subunit ribosomal RNA", at positions 354 to 796 of the family's 1533-position model. The record is from RNAcentral.
GUGGGGAAUAUUGGACAAUGGGCGCAAGCCUGAUCCAGCCAUGCCGCGUGAGUGAUGAAGGCCUUAGGGUUGUAAAGCUCUUUCGUCAGGGAAGAUAAUGACGGUACCUGAAGAAGAAGCCCCGGCUAACUUCGUGCCAGCAGCCGCGGUAAUACGAAGGGGGCUAGCGUUGUUCGGAAUUACUGGGCGUAAAGCGCACGUAGGCGGAUAUUUAAGUCAGGGGUGAAAUCCCAGAGCUCAACUCUGGAACUGCCUUUGAUACUGGGUAUCUCGAGUAUGGAAGAGGUGAGUGGAAUUCCGAGUGUAGAGGUGAAAUUCGUAGAUAUUCGGAGGAACACCAGUGGCGAAGGCGGCUCACUGGUCCAUUACUGACGCUGAGGUGCGAAAGCGUGGGGAGCAAACAGGAUUAGAAACCCUUGUAGUCC